UAUCUGGGAUGCACGAUAACUCCUACAGUUUUUGAACCUACACUUUUUUAUAGGGAACUUAAUAUCGUGUGGUGGAUGACAUGCCUCCUUGAGUGGACUUCAGAAGUCACAUUGCAAGUACCCACCUGGCUUCGGCUAGGAGUCAAAAAGUAGGAGCCGGCAUCUUGGAUGU
RNAcentral lists this non-coding RNA (172 nucleotides) under uncultured Eubacterium sp. RNAcentral describes it as "6S / SsrS RNA". It matches the Rfam family "6S / SsrS RNA". From Rfam's summary of the family: E. coli 6S RNA was the first non coding RNA to be sequenced, but its function was unknown until recently. It consists of 184 nucleotides that fold into an extended hairpin structure with a large single-stranded internal bulge. Lineage: Bacteria; Bacillati; Bacillota; Clostridia; Eubacteriales; Eubacteriaceae. The record is from RNAcentral.